AUAUCAAUUCCCUUAGCUACUUUUGACUGUGUACUUCUAUCUAUUUUGGUGAAUGCCGAUGAUGGUAACACUACACAUUACUAAGCACUCUGGGCCUGAAAUUCAAUCAUGAGUUUGGCACUAGAAGAAUGAUUGUGAAUUCCUAUAGGAUAGAUGGUUGCCUAGCAACCAGAGUUUGAGGGCAAACACAGUAUCAGCUAGGGCACUAUAUACAAGGGAAUAAAUCACCGUUUGGUUGCCUUUGAAAAGUGUGAACUCCAGAAUCUUAUGAGCAUUUCAAGGGUCCCUCACUCUCCAAAUAUUUAUAAGUGUCAAGGAACAUGGCAGGCAAAAAAUGUGCCUGUGAACUACACAAGAAAGUGAUCUCUGAGAGGGAGAAUUGCAUUGCUCAGAUUCCACGACCACAAAAACCUUUAUAAAGGAAAUUCUAUAUAACAAAAAGAUUCUCAAAGCCCUGCUAAUGGGAGAAACAGGCAAGCAAGGCAAUCUUGGUACUACCAUGUUUCAUUACAUACACACACACACACACACACACACAUGUAUAUAUAAAAAUAAUAUUUAGAUAGAUAUGAAUAUUGUUGUUCAUCCUUUGUUUCCCAAGAGAACCCACGACAUCACAUGGUGAUGUCUUAACUGGUACAUGAAUUGCAUUUUAGUGAGGC
Molecule: long non-coding RNA, 662 nt
Filed under: Monodelphis domestica (gray short-tailed opossum)
Lineage: Eukaryota; Metazoa; Chordata; Mammalia; Didelphimorphia; Didelphidae
Description: lncRNA (ENSMODG00000037866.1)
Source: RNAcentral